This 491-nucleotide ribosomal RNA is filed under the name uncultured bacterium. Its description in RNAcentral is "partial 16S ribosomal RNA". It matches the Rfam family "Bacterial small subunit ribosomal RNA", at positions 29 to 507 of the family's 1533-position model. The record is from RNAcentral.
AGUGAACGCUGACGGUAGGCCUAACACAUGCAAGUCGAACGGCAGCACAGUAAGAGCUUGCUCUUACGGGUGGCGAGUGGCGGACGGGUGAGGAAUACAUCGGAAUCUACUUUUUCGUGGGGGAUAACGUAGGGAAACUUACGCUAAUACCGCAUACGACCUACGGGUGAAAGCAGGGGAUCUUCGGACCUUGCGCGAUUGAAUGAGCCGAUGUCGGAUUAGCUAGUUGGCGGGGUAAAGGCCCACCAAGGCGACGAUCCGUAGCUGGUCUGAGAGGAUGAUCAGCCACACUGGAACUGAGACACGGUCCAGACUCCUACGGGAGGCAGCAGUGGGGAAUAUUGGAAAUGGGCGCAAGCCUGAUCCAGCCAUACCGCGUGGGUGAAGAAGGCCUUCGGGUUGUAAAGCCCUUUUGUUGGGAAAGAAAAGCAGCAGGUUAAUACCCCGCUGUUCUGACGGUACCCAAAGAAUAAGCACCGGCCAACUUCGUG